GUCAAGUCCGCAUGGCCCUGACGCCCUGGGCGACACACACGCUACAAUGGCCGGGACAGCGGGCGGCCAAGCGGCAACGCGGAGCCAAUCCCUCAAACCCGGUCUCAGUUCGGAUUGGGGGCUGCAACUCGCCCCCAUGAAGGCGGAGUUGCUAGUAACCGCAGGUCAGCCAUACUGCGGUGAAUAUGUUCCCGGGCCUU
RNAcentral lists this ribosomal RNA (200 nucleotides) under uncultured organism. Its description in RNAcentral is "partial small subunit ribosomal RNA". It matches the Rfam family "Bacterial small subunit ribosomal RNA", at positions 1184 to 1382 of the family's 1533-position model. The record is from RNAcentral.